GCCGGAAGUGGCUGAGGAGCUGGUAUUGAAAACUUGUGCGCGGGCCAAGCGGGUCCUGCGCUUAAGAGGAGCCCCCGACACCUGGUGGUGCAAACGCAACCACCGUGCCACCUCCACCCCACUGAAGGGUGCAUCUAUCCAGAUGUGUUAAUGGCUUGAUUUUGCUGCACAUAACCAGGGACACAGGAGGCCAGCUCCAUACCGCUGACUCAUCGAGUUUCAUCUGGCCAUUCACUGCCCUAGUCCCUGGAGAGUGCUUAGUACACAGCGGGUGCCCUGUGGAUGCUCUGUGAACCCCAGGUGGUGCGCGGAGGAGUCCGAGUAUUCCUGCAUCACUGGCAAGGAGAGUGGGGCCACGGGCACCAUUUCAUCCCCGAGUAAGGAGCUGAGAUGACGCGUGAGGUUUGCGUCCUGCCGGGUCCUUUGGUGCUAACAUUUUGGUUCCCCGACGGGCCUCUGACAGCGAGUUUUACAGUUUUUUAAGUGGUCAGCUCAGCCUCGGCUGCCAGGAAACACCCCAGAACACCCUGCUUCCACUGCUCACUGCCUGCUCUCCUGGAGCAGCAUGAAGAGAGCUGAGUCGCUCACGACGGCCUCAGGACUUACCCACACUCUGUUCUGCUCCCCAUAUUCACUUCCAGGACUCUGAAAGGAAGCUCCUUCCCUCACUUCGCCCCCUCUCAGCUCAAAAAGGUUAGAGACACUGAACGCUGACCCCAGACCCUCCUUUCUUCUCCAAGUAAAAAUAUUGCCCACUAAGAACAAAUUUUUUAAUUCUCACAAGCCUGUUUCCUGAGUGCCCAAACUGAUAUGCUCACUAGACUACCCCUCAAAAAUGACCUACAUAAACCCAGUCCCUUUCUUUGAUCAGUGGCUCAUUUUCCACCAGGACAGUGGGUUCGCCAGCACCAUUCCACCCCCGUUCCUGAAUAAACAGCUGAGAUGACUCGUGA
Sciurus carolinensis (gray squirrel) is the source of this 953-nucleotide long non-coding RNA. RefSeq lists it as uncharacterized. The transcript has 5 exons. The record is from RefSeq and is a predicted model, not a curated record. Lineage: Eukaryota; Metazoa; Chordata; Mammalia; Rodentia; Sciuridae.